AAACUGCAAGUUCGAACGGCAGCGCGGACUUCGGUCUGGCGGCGAGUGGCGAACGGGUGAGUAAUACAUCGGAACGUGCCCUGUUGUGGGGGAUAACUAGUCGAAAGAUUAGCUAAUACCGCAUACGACCUGAGGGUGAAAGCGGGGGACCGUAAGGCCUCGCGCAAUAGGAGCGGCCGAUGUCUGAUUAGCUAGUUGGUGGGGUAAAGGCCCACCAAGGCGACGAUCAGUAGCUGGUCUGAGAGGACGAUCAGCCACACUGGGACUGAGACACGGCCCAGACUCCUACGGGAGGCAGCAGUGGGGAAUUUUGGACAAUGGGGGCAACCCUGAUCCAGCAAUGCCGCGUGUGUGAAGAAGGCCUUCGGGUUGUAAAGCACUUUUGUCCGGAAAGAAAUCGCUCUGGCUAAUACCUGGGGUGGAUGACGGUACCGGAAGAAUAAGCACCGGCUAACUACGUGCCAGCAGCCGCGGUAAUACGUAGGGUGCGAGCGUUAAUCGGAAUUACUGGGCGUAAAGCGUGCGCA
This 527-nucleotide ribosomal RNA is filed under the name Ralstonia sp. MBCC40259. RNAcentral describes it as "bacterial SSU rRNA". It matches the Rfam family "Bacterial small subunit ribosomal RNA", at positions 51 to 573 of the family's 1533-position model. Lineage: Bacteria; Pseudomonadati; Pseudomonadota; Betaproteobacteria; Burkholderiales; Burkholderiaceae. The record is from RNAcentral.